CAUCCCGUACGUUCACCGAAUUUAAGCAACUUCGAGCCUGCUCAGUACAAAGAUGGGUGACCGCUUGGGAAUUCCAGGUGC
Molecule: non-coding RNA, 81 nt
Organism: Acanthosepion pharaonis
Lineage: Eukaryota; Metazoa; Mollusca; Cephalopoda; Sepiida; Sepiidae
Source: the annotation of a GenBank genome assembly